RNAcentral lists this ribosomal RNA (528 nucleotides) under uncultured Marivirga sp. RNAcentral's name for it is "bacterial SSU rRNA". It matches the Rfam family "Bacterial small subunit ribosomal RNA", at positions 83 to 609 of the family's 1533-position model. Lineage: Bacteria; Pseudomonadati; Bacteroidota; Cytophagia; Cytophagales; Marivirgaceae. The record is from RNAcentral.
GGUCUAUGAUUUCUGACGCACGGGUGCGUACACGUAUGCAACCUACCCUUUACAGGAGUAUAGCUCGGGGAAACUCGAAUUAAUGCUCCAUGAAAUAGUUGAAUGGCAUCAUUUGAUUAUUAAAGCUGAGGUGGUAAAGGAUGGGCAUGCGUCUGAUUAGCUAGUUGGUAGUGUAACGGACUACCAAGGCGAUGAUCAGUAGGGGAACUGAGAGGUUGAUCCCCCACACUGGCACUGAGAUACGGGCCAGACUCCUACGGGAGGCAGCAGUAGGGAAUAUUGGUCAAUGGGUGAGAGCCUGAACCAGCCAUGCCGCGUGCAGGAAGACGGCCUUCUGGGUUGUAAACUGCUUUUGCCAGGGGCUAAAAAGUCCAUGCGUGGAAAUUGAAAGUACCUGGUGAAUAAGCCACGGCUAACUACGUGCCAGCAGCCGCGGUUAAUACGUAGGUGGCAAGCGUUGUCCCGGAUUUAUUGGGUUUAAAGGGUGCGUAAGCCGGCUCUGUAAGUCAGUGCUGAAAUAUNCCCGGC